This 211-nucleotide long non-coding RNA is filed under the name Setaria italica (foxtail millet). RNAcentral's name for it is "long non-coding RNA (SITA_LNC005383)". Lineage: Eukaryota; Viridiplantae; Streptophyta; Magnoliopsida; Poales; Poaceae. The record is from RNAcentral.
ACUGACAUACACAGCCAAGUCAGCGUAUCAGAUGCUCAACCAGGGGCGAACAAGUCUCCAGGGAGCAGAUCUCAUAUGGAAGACAUGGGCGCCGUUGCGUGUGAAGCUCUUCCUCUGGCUAGCAUGUCGACGUCGCAUCUGGACAGCAGACAGGAGAAGGCGCCGGGGACUAGAGGCGCACGACACCUGCUUCAUGUGUGACCAAUCCAAU